RNAcentral lists this unclassified non-coding RNA (311 nucleotides) under uncultured fungus. RNAcentral describes it as "partial contains 5.8S ribosomal RNA and internal transcribed spacer 2". The stretch from base 1 to 133 matches the Rfam family "5.8S ribosomal RNA", at positions 22 to 154 of the family's 154-position model. The record is from RNAcentral. Lineage: Eukaryota; Fungi.
UGGUUCCGGCAUCGAUGAAGAACGCAGCGAAAUGCGAUAAGUAAUGCGAAUUGCAGAAUUCCGUGAGCCAUCGAAUCUUUGAACGCACAUUGCGCCCCUUGGUAUUCCGGGGGGCAUGCCUGUUCGAGCGUCAUAAGCACCAAUCCAGCCUGCUGGGUAUUGGGCUCCGCUAACAAGCGGCCCCUAAAGAUGCUGGCGGUGCCGCCCGGCUCCACGCGUAGUACAUCUCUCGCGAUGGUCUCCGGGCGGUCACUAGCCACUAAGCCUACUUUUACCAAGUUGACCUCGGAUCAGGUAGGGAUACCCGCUGA